This 20-nucleotide microRNA is filed under the name Oryza sativa (Asian cultivated rice). RNAcentral describes it as "osa-miR1846d-3p". The record is from miRBase by way of RNAcentral. Lineage: Eukaryota; Viridiplantae; Streptophyta; Magnoliopsida; Poales; Poaceae. RNAcentral also lists the same sequence under 1 other name.
UAUCCGGCGCCGCAGGGAGG